CUAUUAAUGGGAGCCAAUUGAAAAAUAAUAGUAUGUAUGACAUUCAAAUCUAUAUAAGAAUGAUAGUGUUCCUUUAACCCCUUAAGGACCAAACUUCUGGAAUAAAAGGGAAUCAUGACAUGUCACACAUGUCAUGUGUCCUUAAGGGGUUAAAGCACACAAUAUUUACAGCGGUUCAAGGGACACUGUAAUCACCAAAACAACUUUAGCUUAAUGAAGCUGUUUAGGUGUAUAGAUCAUGCUCCUGAAGGCUGGAGAAUAUUUGCACACUUGCUUCUGUAUUGACAGAAAUGGUCUACUGCCUAUUUAGCAAAAUGCUCAGAAGAGGUAGCUGAGUGUUAUGGGAGACAUCUAUUAAUUCAUCUAUUCUCUAAGUCUGAUAUGCUUCCAGUUGGGCUACUUAGACUUUAAAUGUGAAAUUCACUUUGAAUUCUCCCUUUAGUGGAUAGCACUGACUGUGUGAGUAUCUGUGAAAGCAACAGCUCUGAUUCAAAGGGGCACUUUAACUCCUUAAGGACGGCUGACGUACUAGGCAAAUAUAUUACUUAUCCGAUCGCCGCAGUUCCGCAAUCUGUGUUGCUCCCGGUCUGGGGGUCUGCCUGAGGCCCCCAUGGGCAAUAGGCGUCCAUAGUGCUGCCUGCAUACAGACUCCCUAAACUGACAGGCAGUCUCCCUGCUGC
Molecule: non-coding RNA, 680 nt
Organism: Pelobates cultripes (western spadefoot toad)
Lineage: Eukaryota; Metazoa; Chordata; Amphibia; Anura; Pelobatidae
Source: the annotation of a GenBank genome assembly